Molecule: ribosomal RNA, 2931 nt
Filed under: Escherichia coli
Lineage: Bacteria; Pseudomonadati; Pseudomonadota; Gammaproteobacteria; Enterobacterales; Enterobacteriaceae
Description: 23S ribosomal RNA
Rfam family: Bacterial large subunit ribosomal RNA
Source: RNAcentral
GGGUUGUGAGGUUAAGCGACUAAGCGUACACGGUGGAUGCCCUGGCAGUCAGAGGCGAUGAAGGACGUGCUAAUCUGCGAUAAGCGUCGGUAAGGUGAUAUGAACCGUUAUAACCGGCGAUUUCCGAAUGGGGAAACCCAGUGUGAUUCGUCACACUAUCAUUAACUGAAUCCAUAGGUUAAUGAGGCGAACCGGGGGAACUGAAACAUCUAAGUACCCCGAGGAAAAGAAAUCAACCGAGAUUCCCCCAGUAGCGGCGAGCGAACGGGGAGCAGCCCAGAGCCUGAAUCAGUGUGUGUGUUAGUGGAAGCGUCUGGAAAGGCGCGCGAUACAGGGUGACAGCCCCGUACACAAAAAUGCACAUGCUGUGAGCUCGAUGAGUAGGGCGGGACACGUGGUAUCCUGUCUGAAUAUGGGGGGACCAUCCUCCAAGGCUAAAUACUCCUGACUGACCGAUAGUGAACCAGUACCGUGAGGGAAAGGCGAAAAGAACCCCGGCGAGGGGAGUGAAAAAGAACCUGAAACCGUGUACGUACAAGCAGUGGGAGCACGCUUAGGCGUGUGACUGCGUACCUUUUGUAUAAUGGGUCAGCGACUUAUAUUCUGUAGCAAGGUUAACCGAAUAGGGGAGCCGAAGGGAAACCGAGUCUUAACUGGGCGUUAAGUUGCAGGGUAUAGACCCGAAACCCGGUGAUCUAGCCAUGGGCAGGUUGAAGGUUGGGUAACACUAACUGGAGGACCGAACCGACUAAUGUUGAAAAAUUAGCGGAUGACUUGUGGCUGGGGGUGAAAGGCCAAUCAAACCGGGAGAUAGCUGGUUCUCCCCGAAAGCUAUUUAGGUAGCGCCUCGUGAAUUCAUCUCCGGGGGUAGAGCACUGUUUCGGCAAGGGGGUCAUCCCGACUUACCAACCCGAUGCAAACUGCGAAUACCGGAGAAUGUUAUCACGGGAGACACACGGCGGGUGCUAACGUCCGUCGUGAAGAGGGAAACAACCCAGACCGCCAGCUAAGGUCCCAAAGUCAUGGUUAAGUGGGAAACGAUGUGGGAAGGCCCAGACAGCCAGGAUGUUGGCUUAGAAGCAGCCAUCAUUUAAAGAAAGCGUAAUAGCUCACUGGUCGAGUCGGCCUGCGCGGAAGAUGUAACGGGGCUAAACCAUGCACCGAAGCUGCGGCAGCGACGCUGAUGCGUUGUUGGGUAGGGGAGCGUUCUGUAAGCCUGUGAAGGUGUACUGUGAGGUAUGCUGGAGGUAUCAGAAGUGCGAAUGCUGACAUAAGUAACGAUAAAGCGGGUGAAAAGCCCGCUCGCCGGAAGACCAAGGGUUCCUGUCCAACGUUAAUCGGGGCAGGGUGAGUCGACCCCUAAGGCGAGGCCGAAAGGCGUAGUCGAUGGGAAACAGGUUAAUAUUCCUGUACUUGGUGUUACUGCGAAGGGGGGACGGAGAAGGCUAUGUUGGCCGGGCGACGGUUGUCCCGGUUUAAGCGUGUAGGCUGGUUUUCCAGGCAAAUCCGGAAAAUCAAGGCUGAGGCGUGAUGACGAGGCACUACGGUGCUGAAGCAACAAAUGCCCUGCUUCCAGGAAAAGCCUCUAAGCAUCAGGUAACAUCAAAUCGUACCCCAAACCGACACAGGUGGUCAGGUAGAGAAUACCAAGGCGCUUGAGAGAACUCGGGUGAAGGAACUAGGCAAAAUGGUGCCGUAACUUCGGGAGAAGGCACGCUGAUAUGUAGGUGAAGUCCCUCGCGGAUGGAGCUGAAAUCAGUCGAAGAUACCAGCUGGCUGCAACUGUUUAUUAAAAACACAGCACUGUGCAAACACGAAAGUGGACGUAUACGGUGUGACGCCUGCCCGGUGCCGGAAGGUUAAUUGAUGGGGUCAGCGCAAGCGAAGCUCUUGAUCGAAGCCCCGGUAAACGGCGGCCGUAACUAUAACGGUCCUAAGGUAGCGAAAUUCCUUGUCGGGUAAGUUCCGACCUGCACGAAUGGCGUAAUGAUGGCCAGGCUGUCUCCACCCGAGACUCAGUGAAAUUGAACUCGCUGUGAAGAUGCAGUGUACCCGCGGCAAGACGGAAAGACCCCGUGAACCUUUACUAUAGCUUGACACUGAACAUUGAGCCUUGAUGUGUAGGAUAGGUGGGAGGCUUUGAAGUGUGGACGCCAGUCUGCAUGGAGCCGACCUUGAAAUACCACCCUUUAAUGUUUGAUGUUCUAACGUGGACCCGUGAUCCGGGUUGCGGACAGUGUCUGGUGGGUAGUUUGACUGGGGCGGUCUCCUCCUAAAGAGUAACGGAGGAGCACGAAGGUUGGCUAAUCCUGGUCGGACAUCAGGAGGUUAGUGCAAUGGCAUAAGCCAGCUUGACUGCGAGCGUGACGGCGCGAGCAGGUGCGAAAGCAGGUCAUAGUGAUCCGGUGGUUCUGAAUGGAAGGGCCAUCGCUCAACGGAUAAAAGGUACUCCGGGGAUAACAGGCUGAUACCGCCCAAGAGUUCAUAUCGACGGCGGUGUUUGGCACCUCGAUGUCGGCUCAUCACAUCCUGGGGCUGAAGUAGGUCCCAAGGGUAUGGCUGUUCGCCAUUUAAAGUGGUACGCGAGCUGGGUUUAGAACGUCGUGAGACAGUUCGGUCCCUAUCUGCCGUGGGCGCUGGAGAACUGAGGGGGGCUGCUCCUAGUACGAGAGGACCGGAGUGGACGCAUCACUGGUGUUCGGGUUGUCAUGCCAAUGGCACUGCCCGGUAGCUAAAUGCGGAAGAGAUAAGUGCUGAAAGCAUCUAAGCACGAAACUUGCCCCGAGAUGAGUUCUCCCUGACUCCUUGAGAGUCCUGAAGGAACGUUGAAGACGACGACGUUGAUAGGCCGGGUGUGUAAGCGCAGCGAUGCGUUGAGCUAACCGGUACUAAUGAACCGUGAGGCUUAACCUUACAACGCCGAAGGUGUUU